GAUGAACGCUAGCUACAGGCUUAACACAUGCAAGUCGAGGGGUAACGAGAGGAAAGCUUGCUUUCCUUGUCGACGACCGGCGCACGGGUGAGCAACGCGUAUCCAACCUGCCCCCAACUAGGGAAUAACCUUGCGAAAGUAAGACUAAUACCCUAUAAUUUCCUCAGAUGUCAUCUGACGAGGAAUAAAGAUUUAUCGGUUGUGGAUGGGGAUGCGUCUGAUUAGCUUGUUGGCGGGGUAACGGCCCACCAAGGCAACGAUCAGUAGGGGUUAUGAGAGGAAGGUCCCCCACAUUGGAACGGAGACACGGUCCAAACUCCUACGGGAGGCAGCAGUGAGGAAUAUUGGUCAAUGGGCGGAAGCCUGAACCAGCCAAGUAGCGUGCAGGAUGACGGCCCUAUGGGUUGUAAACUGCUUUUAUACAGGAAUAAAGUUAGCCACGUGUGGUUAUUUGUAGGUACUGUAUGAAUAAGGACCGGCUAAUUCCGUGCCAGCAGCCGCCGUAA
RNAcentral lists this ribosomal RNA (506 nucleotides) under uncultured bacterium. Its description in RNAcentral is "partial 16S ribosomal RNA". It matches the Rfam family "Bacterial small subunit ribosomal RNA", at positions 28 to 523 of the family's 1533-position model. The record is from RNAcentral.